Molecule: long non-coding RNA, 2173 nt
Organism: Lepisosteus oculatus (spotted gar)
Lineage: Eukaryota; Metazoa; Chordata; Actinopteri; Semionotiformes; Lepisosteidae
Source: RefSeq, a predicted model, not a curated record
AGGCCACGACAGGACACAAGGAUACUAUCGUUAACAUCCCUACUCUUACGGAGAGUGCCACGGGCUCAUUAAUGACUAGUGUAGUCUGAAUCUCGGUUUGACGUCUCAUCUGAAGGACGAGCUGCACAGAGCAGCAGAUAAAAAGCUCAGGCAGAGAUUCUCCGCUUCGUGUGUGUCCGUGACGUGAGGCUGAUCAGAUUGCGCGACCCUCAAAAUGCACGAUAUACAGGCGAAGGAGAGGAAACUCAGUCUGGGAUCUUGAAUUCUGUAAAGGAAACGCACUCAAGAGGGCAGUCAAACGCCACUGGUAGUUCUUCAUCUGUCGCAGUAAUGCAGAGAUUUCAGGAACAUUGUAAUGUGAGGGAAGCACACGAGGCCGGAAGAGCACCCCUUGUGGGCAGAGAGAGUCCCAGUCUCAGUUUACCCAGAAGACUUGACAAAUCCCACAGCGCAGGGGUGCAGAAUUAAUUUACACCAGUGGGAGAUGAUUGGAACCUUAACAGGAGCACACAUAUACUCCACAUAAGAUCUGAGGAAACAGAUCUUUCCACAAAGCAGGGGUAAGAAUAUGUACAGUGAACUCUAUUGUACUGGUCCAACAGACCUCUGAAACUUGAGAACAUGAGCACUAGGCAGAGAUUGAGAAGUUUAAUAACGCGUGUGCUGUGUAUGGACUGAAACACAGCACAAGAGACAGCUAAAUUAGUGAGUCCACCAUGAAAUAUUUCUAAAAGAAGACAGCAACCAAUUCAGCUGCACUUUCAUUACCGCCUGCAGAUUGAAAUAAAAAGCAAUGUGUCUUUCCACUCCACCCUAGUAGACAACAGUAAAAGAGUGUCCAGUCUUUACUCUCUCAUACUCUUCCCAAAGAACAUGCUCAGAUCUAAGCUGAUCCAGCCUGCAAUGAGUGAAGCUGCCAGUGAACUGCUACAAGAAAUCUCAUAUUGUUUCACCAAAGGGUUUUGAAUGUGAAAACCCAGGUGAGGACUAAGUAGCAACAAGAGUCAAUUUGCAGGAAAUGACACAAUGUGCACAGGAAAGCACUUUCAACAGCAAAAAGAAUGAUCUGGCUAAAAGACACUUUUAUUUUCCGUGCGAUAUUACAAGCCUGCGCUAUGAUCUACUGUAGCAAGCCUCUUAAAGUCAGGCUUAGCUUUUGCCCUCUGUAUGAAUGAAGUUUGAAUAAAGAUCCCACUGACUACAGUAUGUUCUGCUUUGUGGAGACUUCUAAAAACUCGAGUUUUCCAUUCUUGUUUCGGCUUUUGCUUGCGGUUUCUCCUAAGAUCAGGAACCCCUGUUGCAUAAUUAGAAAAGACCAAUGUAUUUCUCCCAUAAAUAAUUAAAAACAAUUCAAUUCUCGAUGUAUUAAACGUUUGCAUAUUCAGGAAUUUUCUCAUUUGUAAAGCUAGAAAUAGGAACAGACAUGUUAUAUAUUAACAGUUGGAGUACAAAACGCAGUCAAAAGAUUUGGCCAGUAGGGGAAAUGGGGAGGUAGGUAGCUUGUGUGUGGUGAUGGCAUUAUUACACAACAACCUGUGCCAGCAGCUUGGCACAGGCAACAUUAAUGCGCCCCAUUCAUUCGACGGCUGAAGCCAGGCUCUGUGUUCAUCUGGGAGACGUGCAUUUGUGAUUGGCAUCAUGGUCUCUUCCUGAAAAUGACUGGGGUCCCGUCCAGAGGCAGAGAACCUGCGUGUUCACAACCUCUGUUUCCAAAGCGCACCCUAGUCCUGCUGCAAACCUCACCAGGAAAACAGUCUUGUAAACAUGAACGCAUGAAGCCGGUGCACGCAAACUCCAUUACCACUACACACCAGAGCCCCCGAGAGCUCCCUCUCUAGCUCAGGUUUCAGGGUCCAAGGAAGAAACGUUGUGAGAGCUCCAGCAGAGGUUUAGCAGGACAGGCUUUGCGGUGUCUGAGACUGUCCCAAGCACUGUUCCUGCACUGCGGUCUGUUAAAAUGAGCUGAGAGUCUCACCACACAGUGAUCCCACUGCAGAAUGGAGCCUGGAUGACUGUGCUCAGCUCCAAGAACAAGUUGUUCUCAUUGAAGUUUGCGAGAGAGACAGUGCACCUAAAAAUAAAAUCUCUUUCCUGGUAAAGUGCCUUUCGGCUGUGUAUUUCCUGCUUUCCAUUUCAUCUGCUGUUCUGUGUCUGAAAAUCUUCUAAGCGGCAG